CAUUAGAUUACUUAAAUGCAAGUGUUGGUCUCUUAAACCAAAUUAUAGUAUAAAAGCGAAUACUUCUAAUGG
This 72-nucleotide transfer RNA is filed under the name Durgades nigropicta. Its description in RNAcentral is "tRNA-Lys". The record is from RNAcentral. Lineage: Eukaryota; Metazoa; Arthropoda; Insecta; Hemiptera; Cicadellidae.